UACGGGAGUGGCAAGCGUUAUCCGGAAUUAUUGGGCGUAAAGCGUCCGCAGGCGGCCUCGUAAGUCUGUUGUCAAAACGUGGAGCUUAACUCCAUUUCGGCAAUGGAAACUGUGAGGCUGGAGUGUGGUAGGGGCAGAGGGAAUUCCCGGUGUAGCGGUGAAAUGCGUAGAUAUCGGGAAGAACACCAGUGGCGAAGGCGCUCUGCUGGGCCAUAACUGACGCUCAUGGACGAAAGCCAGGGGAGCGAAAGGG
This 253-nucleotide ribosomal RNA is filed under the name uncultured bacterium. RNAcentral describes it as "partial 16S ribosomal RNA". It matches the Rfam family "Bacterial small subunit ribosomal RNA", at positions 524 to 776 of the family's 1533-position model. The record is from RNAcentral.